Non-coding RNA from Myodes glareolus (Bank vole), 830 nucleotides. The record is from RefSeq and is a predicted model, not a curated record. Lineage: Eukaryota; Metazoa; Chordata; Mammalia; Rodentia; Cricetidae.
CCGGGAGACACACUUCAAAGCUAGUAGAAUUCCUGAUCCAUGGGAUGAAGCCGAAAGAGCAACAAUGACCCAACAUCAGUCACUCAAAUGAUUCUGCCAACAGAGACAAUAAACCUAAACCACAACUUCGUUAUUUGUGGAACUGCGGAGACUGGUGUCAUCAACAAAUAUCUGAGAGAGAAUGACGGUGAUUCCUACGAUGUCCUUAUUUCAACUUCACCAUUUGGCUAGUCAAAUCAGGGCCAUGGACAGUGACAGCUAAUCAUCCCCAACUUCCUCAAUGAUGAUGCUGAUUGCAGCUGCAGGUCCAGAUGUGCCGCUUACACAGCUCACCAUAGCUAUUGAUCUUCAAUCCUUUCUAGUUCAUUCUGAUUGGUGAGAAGAAAUCAGAAGCAAUUUGCAUCCUGUGGACGGAGUAGCAGCAUAUGUGUCCUCCGUGGAGCACUCCCACUCCAGGCCAGACUUUGUUGACCUGUCUGCUCUCUAGCACAUGACAUCUGCCAGAAGCUUAGUCAUUCGGUAACAGGCCAUCUUGCUGAUCUAUGACAUCGAUGGUGUGUAACUAACUGACUUAGCUGAGGAGAAAAUAGCAAGGCUGGAAAUGUCUUCUAGAUCUGAGCCAGAAUGUGAAAGAAAUGUCAAAGGCUUGUCACACUGGUGCAGUCUCUCAGAGCCCACGAAUUCGGUCAUGAGGAAGUCAUGGUACCUGGAACUGACUGAGUGGGCCAUUCCUCAUCCAACUCUUUUGAGUAAUACAGAACUGCUGGUCAAUUCACUUCGGAUUGGCACUGAAUCUCAGUGACACAGGUUUGAAGAGUUACUGGACAUAG